GAUGAACGCUGGCGGCGUGCCUAAUACAUGCAAGUCGAGCGAACAGAUGAGGAGCUUGCUCCUCUGACGUUAGCGGCGGACGGGUGAGUAACACGUGGAUAACCUACCUAUAAGACUGGGAUAACUUCGGGAAACCGGAGCUAAUACCGGAUAAUAUAUUGAACCGCAUGGUUCAAUAGUGAAAGACGGUUUUGCUGUCACUUAUAGAUGGAUCCGCGCCGCAUUAGCUAGUUGGUAAGGUAACGGCUUACCAAGGCAACGAUGCGUAGCCGACCUGAGAGGGUGAUCGGCCACACUGGAACUGAGACACGGACCAGACUCCUACGGGAGGCAGCAGUAGGGAAUCUUCCGCAAUGGGCGAAAGCCUGACGGAGCAACGCCGCGUGAGUGAUGAGGGUCUUCGGAUCGUAAAACUCUGUUAUUAGGGAAGAACAAAUGUGUAAGUAACUAUGCACGUCUUGACGGUACCUAAUCAGAAAGCCACGGCUAACUACGUG
Molecule: ribosomal RNA, 497 nt
Filed under: uncultured bacterium
Lineage: Bacteria
Description: partial 16S ribosomal RNA
Rfam family: Bacterial small subunit ribosomal RNA
Source: RNAcentral